RNAcentral lists this ribosomal RNA (284 nucleotides) under uncultured bacterium. Its description in RNAcentral is "partial 16S ribosomal RNA". It matches the Rfam family "Bacterial small subunit ribosomal RNA", at positions 335 to 610 of the family's 1533-position model. The record is from RNAcentral.
ACUCCUACGGGAGGCAGCAGUGGGGAAUAUUGCACAAUGGGGGAAACCCGUAGAUGCAGCCAUGCCGCGUGUGUGAAGAAGGCCUUCGGGUUGUAAAGCACUUUCAGUAAGGAGGAAAGGUUAGUAGUUAAUACCUGCUAGCUGUGACGUUACUUACAGAAGAAGCACCGGCUAACUCCGUGCCAGCAGCCGCGGUAAUACGGAGGGUGCGAGCGUUAAUCGGAAUUACUGGGCGUAAAGCGUACGCAGGCGGUUUGUUAAGCGAGAUGUGAAAGCCCCGGCUC